UAGCUCCUACACUUAACGUUUACAUUUUCUCAUUAUUAAAUUAUUACUUUUGUAUGAUUACAGCAUUAUAAUGUGGUGUUAUUAUAUCUUUUAUCUAGGUAAUGGAAGACGAGGGGCAAAUCACGUUUAACGUUACUCUAACGGUUUUACACAGAGUUCUUGCGACUGUCUUCAUUGACGGCAAGCAAACAUGGAGAAAACUAUUCACAGUUGGAAGUGUUGGAGAACUGAUUAACUCAGCCAAAACUGAGCUCUCUCAACAAGUAUCUGUUGAUUAAUGAUGAUUUGAUAUUAUUUUUUACAGAAUGAAUUCCAUGUUAAAACCAGAAAAAAAGCAGAAUAAACAGUAUGUAAACAGUA
Esox lucius (northern pike) is the source of this 360-nucleotide long non-coding RNA. RefSeq lists it as uncharacterized. Lineage: Eukaryota; Metazoa; Chordata; Actinopteri; Esociformes; Esocidae. The record is from RefSeq and is a predicted model, not a curated record. The transcript has 2 exons.